AUAUCCACUUUAUAAAUUUAAAUGACAUAGAUAAAAUAACAUAUAUACUCAACCCAAUUUCACACAUUCAGGUAAAUAAGCUAGGAUCCUUUUUAAAACAGUCUAUUGGACUGAGGACAGGGGACUCUUAAAAUAUUUACUUUUAUUGUGUAUAUUAAUGAUCUUGUUGUUAUUUUUUAUUUUCAUUUUGUUAUGUUGUGUCACAUACUAUAAAUAUGUAGUUUUAUGGCA
Molecule: long non-coding RNA, 231 nt
Filed under: Mytilus galloprovincialis (Mediterranean mussel)
Lineage: Eukaryota; Metazoa; Mollusca; Bivalvia; Mytilida; Mytilidae
Source: RNAcentral